UGAAUACGAGAUGCUACGGCGUCGAAGCAGUCUAUGUCAUACUUCCAAGAAAAGCUUGCACUGUCAUAAACAAAUAAUGCCUGUACCAUAACCGACACAGGUGGGUAGGUAGAGUAUACUAAGGGGCGCGAGAUAACUCUCUCUAAGGAACUCGGCAAAAUGACUCCGUAACUUCGGGAGAAGGAGUGCCUUAUUUAUAAGGUUGCAAUAACAAGAUCCAAGCAACUGUUUACCAAAAACACAGGUCUCCGCUAAGUCGUAAGACGAUGUAUGGGGGCUGACGCCUGCCCAGUGCCAGAAGGUUAAAGAAGUUGGUUAGCAUCCACGAAGCUGAUAACUGAAGCCCUGGUGAACGGCGGCCGUAACAAUAACGGUCCUAAGGUAGCGAAAUUCCUUGUCGGGUAAGUUCCGACCCGCACGAAAGGCGUAAUGAUUUGGAUACUGUCUCGGAGAGGGGCUCGGUGAAAUAGACUUGUCUGUGAAGAUGCGGACUACCUGCACCAGGACAGAAAGACCCUAUGAAGCUUUACUGUAACCUGAAAUUGAAAUUGGACUUUACUUGCGCAGUAUAGGUGGGAGGCGUUGAGAAUAUUCUUGCGGGAUUAUUGGAGCCAUCAGUGAGAUACCACUCUUGUAAUGUUAGAUUUCUAACUUUGUAUCAUUAUCUGGUCAAAGAACAGUUUCAGGCGGGCAGUUUGACUGGGGCGGUCGCCUCCUAAACGGUAACGGAGGCGCACAAAGGUUUCCUCUGAACGGGUAGAAAUCGUAUCUAGGGUGUAAAGGCAUAAGGAAGCUUGACUGUGAGACCUACAAGUCGAGCAGGGACGAAAGUCGAUCUUAGUGAUCUGACGGUGCUGAGUGGAAAGGCCGUCACUCAACGGAUAAAAGUUACUCUAAGGAUAACAGGCUGAUCUCCCCCAAGAGUUCACAUCGACGGGGAGGUUUGGCACCUCGAUGUCGGCUCAUCGCAUCCUGGGGCGGUAGUACGUCCCAAGGGUUGGGCUGUUCGCCCAUGAAAGCGGUACGCGAGCUGGGUUCAGAACGUCGUGAGACAGUUCGGUCCAUAUCCGGUGUAGGCGUUAGAAUAUUGAGAGGAGCCUUCUUUAGUACGAGAGGACCGAGAAGGACAUACCUCUGGUGUACCAGUUAUCGUGCCAACGGUAAACGCUGGGUAGCUAUGUGUGGAGUGGAUAACCGCUGAAAGCAUCUAAGUGGGAAGCCCACCUCAAGAUAAG
RNAcentral lists this ribosomal RNA (1235 nucleotides) under metagenome. RNAcentral describes it as "bacterial LSU rRNA". It matches the Rfam family "Bacterial large subunit ribosomal RNA", at positions 1564 to 2808 of the family's 2925-position model. The record is from RNAcentral.